Molecule: long non-coding RNA, 1308 nt
Filed under: Salvia miltiorrhiza (redroot sage)
Lineage: Eukaryota; Viridiplantae; Streptophyta; Magnoliopsida; Lamiales; Lamiaceae
Description: long non-coding RNA (SMIL_LNC000450)
Source: RNAcentral
CAAUGAUUGAUUUCAUAUAAUAAAAUAAGGAAAACACCAAAUUCAGAGAUGAAAUAAUUCCAAACCUACAAAGAUGCUAGAACUAGUCAUACAAAGACUGGGGAAACAUACUGUAAAUGAUCCAAAAUACUAAAUCUUUAAUUAUCUGCACAAAGUCAAGACCCAAUUUAACUCAAACCACCUCAAACCAAUCCAUACAGCAAUUUGGCAAGGCAGUGUGCUGCUUCAUCUCUAGCAAGACUUAAUUCAUCUAGCCAAAAUUUGUUUGCUGGCAACGAAUCCAUAUUUCGAGCGGGUGCAUACCACUAUCCACGAUGAAGCAGCUGCAUAAGAAAACCAAAAGACCCCAUUGACAAGAUCUAAAUAUUACAAUCCCAACAGAAUAACAUCUGGUAGUCGAUCAGAAUUACAAGGCUGUAAAAAGAAUAGUAGAUAGAUACGCGAACAAGUAAAUUCAGCAGUUUCUAGUCUUGGCACCAUACUAUGAAUCCUAAAUUGCAUGCUCUCUAUACAUCGAACAGUAAGAUUUGGAGCACAAAAUUGAGAAUAGUGAACCAUCACAUCAAAGAUAUUAAACCAACGGAAGAAUUCAAAGUUUGGUGGAACUUAAACUACACAUACUGUUUUAAUUCACAGGUAACAAAUAAUAACACAGCAUACUAAAAUGGCUAAUUACCUGAAAAUGUCAAACUCAUAGUUUUUCCAUGCCCAAACUCGAUGCUCAAACGAGUCAGUUAAAAUACAUGAAGAAACGAGUGAAUAAAAAAGGCAAGAGCAUAUAAUAAACAAUGUAAUAAACCAUGAUUUCCCAUAUCCUAUGAACAGAGAAGCUCAUUAGAACAGAGAGGAAAAACUCAGCUGUAAAAAGCAACAGAAUUAGGAAUUCUCAAGAAGGAUACAGAGAGGAUACGGGUGGUGGAUAAAUUGCAAACACCAGCAUGCUGCUUGCUGCCAAAUUUGGUGAACGAACAAAAGCAAAGAACCACGCUUACUAUUAACCCACAUAUAGAAGGAUUUAGGAAAUCUGACGCAAAAUAAACUUACCCCGCAACUUCAAUUAUAGUUGUUCCAUGUUUUGGUAAGAUAAUUUGUACGAGCAAAGCAUAUCCAUAAGCAAGUUCAUUGCAAAGGUCAGUAAUCAUCCUGAUACAGAUUAUCUUCAGGACCUUCAGAAUUUCUUCUGGAUCCAAAAUCAUCAUCUGCACUUGCAUGCCUAUCCAUAUUUUUAGAAGCCAAAGUUUCAUUCUCCUCCAAAGCCUUUGAUGUACCAUCAAUCCCUUCAGCUUGCCUCAAUUCCUCCAUAUAUUC